RNAcentral lists this ribosomal RNA (635 nucleotides) under uncultured Marinobacter sp. RNAcentral describes it as "bacterial SSU rRNA". It matches the Rfam family "Bacterial small subunit ribosomal RNA", at positions 870 to 1504 of the family's 1533-position model. The record is from RNAcentral. Lineage: Bacteria; Pseudomonadati; Pseudomonadota; Gammaproteobacteria; Pseudomonadales; Marinobacteraceae.
CGCCUGGGGAGUGCGGCCGCAAGGUUAAAACUCAAAUGAAUUGACGGGGGCCCGCACAAGCGGUGGAGCAUGUGGUUUAAUUCGAUGCAACGCGAAGAACCUUACCUGGCCUUGACAUCCAGAGAACUUUCCAGAGAUGGAUUGGUGCCUUCGGGAACUCUGAGACAGGUGCUGCAUGGCCGUCGUCAGCUCGUGUCGUGAGAUGUUGGGUUAAGUCCCGUAACGAGCGCAACCCCUAUCCCUGGUUGCUAGCAGGUAAUGCUGAGAACUCCAGGGAGACUGCCGGUGACAAACCGGAGGAAGGUGGGGAUGACGUCAGGUCAUCAUGGCCCUUACGGCCAGGGCUACACACGUGCUACAAUGGCGCGUACAGAGGGCUGCCAACUCGCGAGAGUGAGCCAAUCCCUUAAAACGCGUCGUAGUCCGGAUCGGAGUCUGCAACUCGACUCCGUGAAGUCGGAAUCGCUAGUAAUCGCGAAUCAGAAUGUCGCGGUGAAUACGUUCCCGGGCCUUGUACACACCGCCCGUCACACCAUGGGAGUGGAUUGCACCAGAAGUAGUUAGUCUAACCUUCGGGAGGACGAUUACCACGGUGUGGUUCAUGACUGGGGUGAAGUCGUAACAAGGUAACCGUA